CUAGAAAAUAAUGCAAGGUUGAGUUUUUUAAUAUUUUACUUUUUUAACUGCUUGAGGUACUUUGAACUCGGAAAUGGAGCUAAAAGACGUCAAUAAGAAAGAGGAGGCAAAGCAUUCGGAAAUUGUGUAAAUUAGGUCAUGUAUACACCCACGGUCUGAUUGGCUUCCACAUCUACUCAGCAACACCCCAACUUCAGACCAUCUACAUACAAGCCUGAAACCAGUCCUAACAGGGACACCCCAGGAAUGGAUGACAAAUUAAUGUGCUACUUAUCCUCGCCAACUCUUCCAGCUGGCUUAAUUCUCAUCAGCCACUAUAAUUUAUUAACAGUGAGGUGAUGCAGACUGAAGCUGACCACUCAUUGCCAGCUACUAAAGGUUUGAGAUCAUAAUGGAUAUAGUCAUCUCCAAAGCAUAAGAAACAGCAGAGUCGGAAAAGGUGUGUACUGAUAAAUGUUAAGCAACCUCCGAGGAAAAAAAAUGUACAUGUGACACACAUACAUCAUAUACAUGUGUCAUUAUAAAGACAGUUUGAUCUGCAUUAUCAGCAUUUUCUUUAUUACUCUCUUACUUCAUUUUCUUCAUUACUCUAGACAAG
This 598-nucleotide long non-coding RNA is filed under the name Phascolarctos cinereus (koala). RNAcentral's name for it is "lncRNA (ENSPCIG00000034170.1)". The record is from RNAcentral. Lineage: Eukaryota; Metazoa; Chordata; Mammalia; Diprotodontia; Phascolarctidae.